Long non-coding RNA from Erinaceus europaeus (western European hedgehog), 652 nucleotides. RefSeq lists it as uncharacterized. The record is from RefSeq and is a predicted model, not a curated record. The transcript is spliced from 3 exons. Lineage: Eukaryota; Metazoa; Chordata; Mammalia; Eulipotyphla; Erinaceidae.
UCCAGCAGUUGUUUGUGCAUUUGGGCUGUGAGCUCAUUACCUCGGGGAUGGCAAAGCUGACUCGAUAAAGGACACGACCUGUGGCUCCCCUUGAAGAGGAAGACGUGAGCUGCUGUAAGAAUGCGAAAAAACUUCCGAGACCUAGGAUGUGGAGAACUGGGAUGACUGCUUUUGUACCCCAGAAGGACUUCACUCCCCGCGGCCUGAGGAGGAGCCCGAGGAGACACGCCGGGGAUGGAGCCGCCGCCGCCGACCCCCGGAGCUGCCGGCGGACCUGCCAGGACUAGCCAGUGUCCGCAGUGAGGACGCAGCCAUCCGCCUUCAAGUCGUAAUAGAAAGCCUGGAGGCAUGGCGUUUGUCCACACCACCAUUUUCUAGGAACUAGGAGGCCACCCUUCAGGAGUCUGGACCCUCCCCGCCUGCCGGGCCAGCUGUGUCCUUACCCCUACAGAGGCUUUAGCUGUCUGGAAAAGAAUCUGCUAGGAAGACCUGUGACUUUUGUGCCCUAGGCGACCUGCAACCCUAGGCCCUCCUGUAUAUCCAGCCCCCUGGAGCUUGAGACAAGAGGAAAGCCUCCACAGUAACAGCUCCCUGAGAGGGGGCUGCUUUCUCCCCACUGCCUAGUAGAGAGAACCAGGCUCAGAGCCUGACC